GCUGGGCUCAGUGGUGCAUGCCUGUAAUCCUAGAGAUUCAGGAGGCUGAAGCAGGAGGAUCACAAGUUGCAGGCCAGCCUCAGCAACUUAGUGAGACCCUGUCUCUA
This 107-nucleotide small RNA is filed under the name Marmota monax (woodchuck). Lineage: Eukaryota; Metazoa; Chordata; Mammalia; Rodentia; Sciuridae. The record is from RNAcentral.